ACCAGACUCCUACGGGAGGCAGCAGUGGGGAAUAUUGCACAAUGGGGGGAACCCUGAUGCAGCGACGCCGCGUGGGUGAAGGAGCACCUCGGUGCGUAAAGCCCUAUCGGCAGGGAAGAAAAGCGAACAGGUUCGCCUGGACGGUACCUGACUAAGAAGCCCCGGCUAACUACGUGCCAGCAGCCGCGGUAAUACGUAGGGGGCAAGCGUUAUCCGGAUUUACUGGGUGUAAAGGGAGCGUAGACGGCAGUGCAAGUCCGGAGUGAAAGCCCGGGGCUCAACCCUGGGACUGCUCUGGAAACUGUAAAGCUGGAGUGCAGGAGGGGCAGGCGGAAUUCCUGGUGUAGCGGUGAAAUGCGUAGAUAUCAGGAGGAACACCGGCGGCGAAGGCGGCCUGCUGGACCGUAACUGACGUUGAGGCUCGAAAGCGUGGGGAGCAAACAGGAUUAGAUACCCGAGUACAA
Molecule: ribosomal RNA, 464 nt
Filed under: uncultured bacterium
Lineage: Bacteria
Description: partial 16S ribosomal RNA
Rfam family: Bacterial small subunit ribosomal RNA
Source: RNAcentral